GUGAACGCUGGCGGUAGGCCUAACCCAUGCACGUCGAACGGCAGCACAGUAAGAGCUUGCUCUUACGGGUGGCGAGUGGCGGACGGGUGAGGAAUACAUCGGAAUCUACUUUUUCGUGGGGGAUAACGUAGGUAAACUUACGCUAAUACCGCAUACGACCUACGGGUGAAAGCAGGGGAUCUUCGGACCUUGCGCGAUUGAAUGAGCCGAUGUCGGAUUAGCUAGUUGGCGGGGUAAAGGCCCACCAAGGCGACGAUCCGUAGCUGGUCUGAGAGGAUGAUCAGCCACACUGGAACUGAGACACGGUCCAGACUCCUACGGGAGGCAGCAGUGGGGAAUAUUGGACAAUGGGCGCAAGCCUGAUCCAGCCAUACCGCGUGGGUGAAGAAGGCCUUCGGGUUGUAAAGCCCUUUUGUUGGGAAAGAAAAGCAGCAGGUUAAUACCCCGCUGUUCUGACGGUACCCAAAGAAUAAGCACCGGCUAACUUCGUG
Molecule: ribosomal RNA, 491 nt
Filed under: uncultured bacterium
Lineage: Bacteria
Description: partial 16S ribosomal RNA
Rfam family: Bacterial small subunit ribosomal RNA
Source: RNAcentral